Molecule: long non-coding RNA, 378 nt
Filed under: Olea europaea subsp. europaea
Lineage: Eukaryota; Viridiplantae; Streptophyta; Magnoliopsida; Lamiales; Oleaceae
Source: RNAcentral
CACUGACGGAAAAUUGAAAUACAAUAAAAUGUAAAGGAAAACUGUAACAAGUGCUAAUGCUCUUUAAAGGAAUUUAACAGUAAAGGAAUGGAAAUAAUGAACGAGUAGUUUGGACUUUCGAGAGGUCCAGUGCUCUCCUAUGCGUCCCACCCAAUUUCUGCAUGCCUUUUCUCUUUCCUCUGGUUCUCGUUUAUAGAUCCCCUUUCAUAACCACUUUGCUAAUGACCUUAGAGCUUCCCAUGUGCUGGUUGAGUAUCUUUGAUUUGUUUUUCCUUUUCUGCCCUUAUGGUUUUCUUGCGUCUGCUGUACGUUAACUGAAUCGGCGAAUUAUCAAUACUCCUCCCCAUGAAACUCACUUUGUCCUCAAGGUGAAACUCC